UGACAUCGUGCACGUGGAGAAGGA
Molecule: non-coding RNA, 24 nt
Filed under: Mus musculus (house mouse)
Lineage: Eukaryota; Metazoa; Chordata; Mammalia; Rodentia; Muridae
Source: RNAcentral